Molecule: long non-coding RNA, 1690 nt
Organism: Carassius auratus (goldfish)
Lineage: Eukaryota; Metazoa; Chordata; Actinopteri; Cypriniformes; Cyprinidae
Exons: 3
Source: RefSeq, a predicted model, not a curated record
CAGUGUCACAAGUUGCCUUACAUUGGUAAGUUUAGCUGUGCUUGUUGCAAACUGUUGAAUUUUGUGUUUUCUGAUCCUAAGCUUAGUUUGAUCCUAGGCUCUGAUUGUGGCAGAUUGGUUAAGUUCCCUCCCAUGCGUUUAAAUUGACAGCCAAUCAGAACCAGGUAUGUGUAAUAUAAGGGCUGGGAGUAGGCCAACUGGGAUGCAUCAUUGCUAGCUCCACCCCUUGGGGCGUGUGGGCUUCCAUCUAAAAGGUAUGUGUUUAGCUGUUUGGUAAAUAUGACGUGAACUUGUACGUAUCAAAUGAAGUUAUUUACUUAUUGUAGUUGGAAUUGGAUCUUGUUCGCAACUUCGUGAUGGUGUGUAGGCUGUUAUUUCCCUCCAUCUGGUUUAUUCACCUGAAUAUGAUUGUCAAGUCAUUGAGUAAACAGCUAUGAUUCAUUCUGUGAUCAACCAUUUUGUCUUGCAGACCAAUUGUCGGUAUGUAUGAUUUAUUUAUUUUCCAAAUAAGUGAUUCGAUUUAAGUUUUUAAUAGUUUGUUUUUAUCAGGACGAACAAUGUUUGUUGGGAGUGGUCCAUCUUAGUGAUUGGGAUGAUCCUUUCCUACAUGGAGGGACAUUUAAGACUGUGUUGCUGUUUUGUUGCUUUGUUUUGCUUGCUAUUAUGUUAUAAUUGUUUGUUGCUUUUAAGCACUGUGCAUGUUUCAUAUAAUUGGUGUUCUGUGUGUUAGGCCUGGUGUCUGGAGGCUGGUUGUACUAGAGCCUUGGUGGUGUUUGGAGCACUGAGAUUGGAUUGCCCCUUGUGAUCACUUGCUUCACGUGUGUGUGUGUUAAGAAUAAUCACUUCACAGCUAGCCUACCUGGCCACAGCAAACAAAAAGAUGCAAGACCGCAAACUUUCCAGUUCUCCUCUGUACUGAUAAUCCGGUUUCAACCCAGUCCCAGGAGAUUAUAUUAAACCUGGAAAGUAUUGGGGAAGAUCCAUUAGGUUUUCAGGAGCACAUUACUGUGAUAAAUGCUGAACUACGUAAAAGACAACUUGACUACACCAACAUCUCAAAAAUCUAAUGAUAUGCGCUCUUUUUAAAAGAGUUGAUUUAAUGACAAAAUCAACAUGAGAGGUCAUAGAUAUGUUUCCAUUUCUUCGGGUUCCACAACUUGUGAGUAUUUGUUUUUAGGGUUGUUUCCUUUUGAGUGUAGUAUUUCCACUGCAUUUUCAAUUUAUUUUUUUGUAUGAAUAAAAAGUCAAAAUUGUUUUAAUGAAUUCUUCCUAUUUUCUUUUUUUUUUUUGGUAGCUGCUGCAUGAAGUGAAGAUGCGGUUUGGGAAGGACCUUUAUCUUAAUCUAGAGACUGCUCUUUAAGUUCUGAACGGUUUACUUCAGCAAAUUAACGCAAACACAAAGUAUGUUUUUUUUUUUUUUUUUUCCAUAACACUACCAUUUAGUUGCUUGGUUUGUUGAACGGUUACUGUAAUCGAUUUAUACCAUGGUUUGUCUGAAUAUCUGAUUCUGAUUGGCUAAAAGUGUUCAUUAAAAUACUUUGAUUCACAGGUAGUUCCAGUCAGUUUAAUUACAAUUAAAGUUUAAUGUGCUGCUGCAAUGACAUGUGCAAGUGUCUUGUUUGCAUGCAAGUCACCUUUAUUUAUAUAGCACUUUAAACUAAAUGCAUUCAGUCAAAGCAACUGAACAACA